Long non-coding RNA from Morus notabilis, 268 nucleotides. RefSeq lists it as uncharacterized. The record is from RefSeq and is a predicted model, not a curated record. Lineage: Eukaryota; Viridiplantae; Streptophyta; Magnoliopsida; Rosales; Moraceae. The transcript has 4 exons.
CUCUCUUCCUAAUCUGACUAAAGAGUUGCAACUUACUUCUGGAUUUUUGAGAAGAUGGCACAUGGCACAACUGAUGAAUAAGUCGAGGCUCUCAUUGACCAAAGCUUGAUGAAAGCUUUAUAUUAGCUCUCAGAUUGCAAACUGAAUAGCCAAAGAAAAUCUCAAGGAAGCAACGUACAAUGUCCAAAAAUCGUAAUUGAUGAUGUAAAGCCAAUAGCCGCGGAUGAUGACAACGAUGGUGAUCCCUUGUUUGAAUCUCUAAAUUGAU